UAUGGUUUCCUUGGUACACACUGAAACCUGAUCUGAGGCUCUGUCAGGCUGAUGAUCCUGGGGAGUGAUCUGCUUCAUUCGAUAUGGCUGGAGGAUUUAAGUAACAACCAAUGAACACUUUAACAAAAGGACUCAAUUUAUGGUUUCAACAGCUUCUGUCUGUCAAGUGUGAAGGAUUUCACUCUACCAAACGGAAGAAUGAAAAAGAUAAAAGCCUAUUAGAACAAAUGAAAAGGAGUAACAAUCAUGAUGAUGGACGGUCAGGCUUGUCGAGAAGUAACUUUGUUUCUGGACAAUGAAUGGCUAGAUUCCAAGUCUGCAAUCAGGGAUAGUUUUGAAAUUCUGUACAAUAAAAUCUCAGAAAU
Long non-coding RNA from Mustela erminea (ermine), 365 nucleotides. RefSeq lists it as uncharacterized. The transcript has 4 exons. The record is from RefSeq and is a predicted model, not a curated record. Lineage: Eukaryota; Metazoa; Chordata; Mammalia; Carnivora; Mustelidae.